This 362-nucleotide long non-coding RNA is filed under the name Lathyrus oleraceus (garden pea). RNAcentral's name for it is "Pisum sativum (pea) long non-coding RNA (PSAT_LNC007265)". The record is from RNAcentral. Lineage: Eukaryota; Viridiplantae; Streptophyta; Magnoliopsida; Fabales; Fabaceae.
UUUUUUAUAAUUAUCAUUGCGAGAUAUGUCAUCCACCUUUCUUCUUUUGCGGGCUUCAAAACUACGAUCUACGGUGUUGCGCAGUAAACAAAAAUCUGGUAUAUUCUCAUAUUCAAGUUCAAUAAAAAAAUUCACAAUCUUACUUUUUCACAAGUAUGUUAUAUCUCAGUUCUUUGGUAAGCUCCAAGUCUACUAGCACUCUCACGAAAUGGCCAAAUGACCUCAAAACUUCUUUUACUAGUUGUCGAGUCAGUGUAGAAUAGAGUUCCAAUACUACUCGCAAUGACAAAUACUAUUCUAGAUCUCCAAUACUCAUAUGAUAACCCAUUUAUUCUAACCCAAACAUGAGAAGAGGUUUAUUU